This 497-nucleotide ribosomal RNA is filed under the name uncultured bacterium. RNAcentral describes it as "partial 16S ribosomal RNA". It matches the Rfam family "Bacterial small subunit ribosomal RNA", at positions 28 to 507 of the family's 1533-position model. The record is from RNAcentral.
GACGAACGCUGGCGGCGUGCCUAAUACAUGCAAGUUGAGCGAUGAAGAUUGGUGCUUGCACCAAUUUGAAGAGCAGCGAACGGGUGAGUAACGCGUGGGGAAUCUGCCUUUGAGCGGGGGACGACAUUUGGAAACGAAUGCUAAUACCGCAUAAUAACUUUAAACAUAAGUUUUAAGUUUGAAAGAUGCAAUUGCAUCACUCAAAGAUGAUCCCGCGUUGUAUUAGCUAGUUGGUGAGGUAAAGGCUCACCAAGGCGAUGAUACAUAGCCGACCUGAGAGGGUGAUCGGCCACAUUGGGACUGAGACACGGCCCAAACUCCUACGGGAGGCAGCAGUAGGGAAUCUUCGGCAAUAGACGAAAGUCUGACCGAGCAACGCCGCGUGAGUGAAGAAGGUUUUCGGAUCGUAAAACUCUGUUGGUAGAGAAGAACGUUGGUGAGAGUGGAAAGCUCAUCAAGUGACGGUAACUACCCAGAAAGGGACGGCUAACUACGUG